Molecule: non-coding RNA, 5532 nt
Organism: Rattus norvegicus (Norway rat)
Lineage: Eukaryota; Metazoa; Chordata; Mammalia; Rodentia; Muridae
Source: RefSeq, a predicted model, not a curated record
GCACAAAAACCAGGCUAACCCAACUAUCAAAGUGAGAAUGCUGUGACCCUCUGAUGAUGAAUUUCACUCGAGUAAUUCCAGCUCUGCACAGACGCUUCCGGAAGGGGCAACUCACUCUUCGGUCCUAAGGAUAAACAAGGAAGUGUAAAGUACUUUCUUCAGUCUUAAAAGUGAGGAGAGGUUGAUAAGGAGCUGUUUCGGUAUCAAUUCCAUCUGAAUGCCUAACCCCAGAAGUGAUGGCCCUCUCUGCACUUCUACUUACACAUGAACAAUAAAACUUUGACUUAUCUAUCAAACUUUAACCUGUCAUAUACCAAGCACACAGGCGAUAAAAGCAUGGCCAUAAAAUCGGAUCUCUGCCCUAAAGAGGCUAAAAUACCUUUUCUUUUCAAUAUACAUUUAGAUUUAUUUUUAUGUAUGUUUUGCCUACCUGUACGUAUAGACUCAUGUAUUCUUGGCACCCUCAGAGAUCAGAUUUCCUGAAACUAGAGGUAGGGAUGGUUGUGAGCUACCUAACCCUCCAUGGGGUGAAAACGGACCCUGGUUCUUCUGCAGGUACAGCAGAUGCUCUUAACCACGGAGCCAUCUCUCCAGCCCCUGAGUACACGUCGAAAUGGCUGUGAUGCUCUUACUAUGUUCCAGACACUUCCUGAAUGGAAGUGGUUAUUCUGGGAAGGAGGGAAGGUGGGGGAUGAGGGACACGUGGAGGGAAGUUCGUUUAAUAGCAAGUAUUAAUAGGUGUGGCACUGCCAUGAAGACAAAAAUAUGCAGCUCCUUACCUAAUACAGUCAAGGUUUAACAGUACCUAAGAGGCCAGGUGUAGAGCACACACAAUUCCAGCACUUUAACUUAGGAGGCUAAGGAAAGGGGGUCAUGAGCUUGAGGCCAGUCUCAAGAUACUGUUUCAGAAAAGGGGGGUUGCGGGAGUUUGCAAGAUGGCUCAGAGGCCACCUGUACACGCCAGAGUCUGUUGCCUAGAACCCACAUCCUCUGACCUCCACACUCAUGUUCGGCAUGCUCACACCCACACGCACAUCAUACACACACAAUGAUGAGUGGAUUUUUUUUUUCAAAUGACUGUGUUCAUCUUGUACAGAGCAGAAGGGAGGCUUUGGGAGAUAGGGGUUAGAAAGACAACUGGAUGUCCUGAGAGAAUUGGUUGGAGAAGCAAAGAAAGGAGUAGUUGGGGUGGAAGAAUUCUUCUCGAAGUCAGUAAGUCAGUAUAAAAGUAAUUCUAUAUACCCCAAGCACCAACAGAGAGAGAAGCAUCUGCCUUCAGGAAGUCCAGCCACGGAAGAGAGGUAGAGUAGCAAGAAUAGGUCCAAGCAGCUGAAAAGGAACUUAGGAAGGAUGGCUUGGAGCAGAGAACAUUCUGGAGAGAGGGGGGAAUGCAUCAGUUUGAAUUACAUCAUUUCGCUUAUACGUGAUGUCCCUGGAGAAGGAUCCAGUGCUUGCUGGCUUAAUGUCCAGGGUUCGCUUAGCAUGCUGGUUUCCUCAUGUCAGUAAAUAUCCUUUAAAACAUUUAAUGACUCAUAGCAGUUCAUCAUCAAAACUGGCCAUGAGUUAUUCUACUCAUCCCCUAAGUCUGGACCUUGUGACUCUCAUACAAAUUCUACUGUUGAAGAGUCUUGUCUCUCUGGUCACAUCCACAGGGAGGACUGUUUUAGCUGAUUUGCUAUAAAUAGACUUUGGGCAGCAAGAACGAGAGCAAGAAGACCAGUUAGGCUAUCGUAACUCAGAUUUCAGCAGAGUUCAGAAGAGGUAAUUUCACUCUGAAGAGAUUUUAAAGAGAGAGACAGCAAGACUUGCUCAGAACUUUGACUCACAGUGUGAGACAGAGGGCAAUAGAUAACAUUUAAGGGCUUGACCUUGAGAACUGAAAGGAUUGGGUUGCUAUCAAAGGGAAGUUUGGAAGUCAGAGAAGGUCUGAAAGAUUUAGAGAAACAAUCUUCCCAGACUUUAUGAGCUCCAGUUACCUAGCAGACAUCUGAGCAGGAAUGUCAAGUCCAUAAUAUGCAAGUCAAUAAGUCAUGAAAUGCCUAGGUAGGAAAUACCAACUGGACCUCACUAUGUAUCCCUGGCUAGCUUGGAAUUUUCUACUUAGACCAAACAGGCUUCCAACCCACAGAGACCCACCUACUUCUGCCUCUUGAGUGCUGGAAAUAAACUAUGCUCAACUAUUCUUUUGUUUCUUUUAAGACUUGGCUUCAGUUUUUUUUUUUUAUGUAUGAGUGUUUUGUCUACAUGUGUGUCUGUAUACCACGUGUAUGCCUGGUGCCCAUGGAGGUCAGAAGAGGGCACCGAAUCCCUGGGAACUAAAGUUAUAAUAGUUGUGAGUAACCACAAGGUUGCUGGGACUUAAACCCAGGUCCUCUGGGAAAAAACAGCCAGUGCUUAACCGCUAAACCAUCUCUCUAGCACCCGACUCCCACCCCUUUUAAAUAUUGGUUUUGUCUUCCCAAGAUUACAUGUUUUUUAAGAAAAGGUCUAUUUUCUACACACUAUAACUCCAUACCCAUACACUUACCAUGUUCAUAAAAUAAAAAUGUAAAUAUAGAACUGUUGUUUCUUCUCUUUCUCUCUCUCUCUCUCUCUCUCUCUCUCUCUCUCUCUCUCUCUCUCUCUCUGUUUUAAUAAAGGGGCAAUGUUUGUUGUUGUUUUAGGACAGAGUCUCACUCUGUAUCCGGGUCUAGCCUGGUCUCACUCUGUAGUCCAAUGUAGUCUUGAGUUUGUGGUGACCACCACUUCCAGACUUCAGUUUUCUUAGUAUUUAAUUUAGACACAUCGAGAUGUCCUGGCAAAAUGAAGUCAGAGGUAGAAUUUUUCAAUCUAUUGCAACUUGUGGUCAUUUCAGGUCAGGUCAAAGAGUCGAUUGAAGAACAAGAAAAGAUCCCAAUGCUUCAUUACACUCACUUUAUACUCAGACUUUCUGAGGCACCAAGAACAGUCUCGAUAAUUCUGCUCUGGGUCCAGCAAGAGCGAGGUUCUCCCAAGAGCCUCGAUUCACCGAGCUGGUGUGAAUUUCUUUCCCGUUCCUUAGGACAGUGGUUCUCAACCUUCCUAAUGCUGCGACCCCUUAAUGGUUCCUCAUGUUGGGGUGACCCCCCAACCAUAAAAUCACUUCAUUGUUACUUCAUAACUUUUGUCACUGUUUCGAAACACAAUGAAAAUAUCUGGUAUUGACCCCCACCCCACAGGUUGAGGACCACUCUUUAGGGAGUUACUAUGGCUGGAAAAGUUCUGUCUGUGACUGGACAAAUCGGAGCCAUAUGGUUCACCCCUGGUUCACCCAAAGGUGCAUGGAAUACAAGCUAGAAGUGGUUUCACGGAAGGAAGGACAGGGCACUAUCACCAAGUACCGAAAAGGUGAGGCACUGCCUCCCAGUUAAGAAAAUGGUGGUGCAUGCCUUUAAUCCCAGGGAGGCUAAGGCAGGUGGGAAUCUCUGUGAGUUCGAGGCCAGCCUGGUGUACAGAGGUAGUUCUAGAAAUGCUAGGGCUACACAGAGAAAACUUGUCUGGAAAAAUCGACAAAGAGAAAAGAAAAUGGAUAUGAAUGGUUAGAAACCAAGCCUGCUGCUGUACCAGUUACACUAAAACCUGGGCUGCUUUAAGCCUGGGGUGUGGUGGCACAUUUAUAAUCCAACCACGGGGAGGCUGAGGAAGAGGAUGUUAACCUCAAAGCUAGUCUGUCUUGAAGAACAAUAUUGUGGUUUGAAUAGGCACUUGGUUGCCAACUGGGAGUGGGGUUUGGGGAGGUUGUGGGAUGUUAGAGAGAGAAGGUGCCUGGGUGGUUGACAUGGGCUGCUGGGAGCUGGCCUCGACUUUCAACUGAGCACUGUUCUGCCUGAUCCACCAAGAUGUGAAGCAUCCAAGCCACACCCACCCACCACAGUGAACUCGGCAGAAACGGACGGCCGUUCCGUUAAAGCUUAAGCCAGAAUAAAUUCUUCCCACCUUAAGGAGUUUCUGUAAGUGUUUAAUCACAGCAGUGAAGCAUAACUGAGGGGAAAGGAAGGAAGGAGAGGCCUGUCUUUACACUUACCUUGAAUGUGUCCCAAUUUCAUGUCCCACACUUAAUCAUCAGGCCCUUACAGAAUUAGUUGUCACUACUUUGUAUCACAUACAAAAAAAAAAAAAAAAGGUAAAUAUUAAGGUAUGACUGUAAAAGUUAACUAUCUGGAAGGGUCAGUAUUUCAGCACUUCACUUUCCAAAACACUCCCACCCGGCCUUGCAGGUUGCUUCUUGUCUGUAUGAGUCUUUUCCUAUUGUCAGUUUACAGGAAAGUAUUCAUUUGCUUUCCUUCGGUGCCCUGGGGACAGGGAGGCUGCUGACUGAGAGGCCUGGGAAACCACCACCAUAGCAGACGAAAGUGAAUCAGUGAGAAGGACAUUUACCCAGUGGAGAGUCUUGAAAAUGCAUCCACGGAUAGCCCUCCUGUCCGCCUUCACUGUUUCCUCCCUACGCUAAGAGCCAUUUCCUCUGUGUGGGAGAUGACAGAAUAUCUCAUUAUGUGUCUGAAUGUACCAGGCAGUCUACUGAACAGUGUGUUCUACAUAUCUCAAUCCAGUUCACUAUGACACACAGAGUUCGUCACCAAUCGACUGCUGGGUAGAGCUCCAGAGGACAAUUACGCUAGGCUCCUGUCUGCAAGGAUAACAAGAGCUGGGGACCGAACCCAGGGCCUUGCGCUUCCUAGGCAAGUGCUCUACCACUGAGCUAAAUCCCCAGCCCCAACAGAACCGCCGAGAAGAGGGAUGCACAGUAUCUGCCACAGAGUUCAGUCCAAGUCACUCCUCGUGGAUGGACUGCGUGUCACUAAGCAAGCCAUCAAGGCAGUGGUGGCUGGAGCCUGGGUUGACCGGGGCCACAGUUAUCGGAUCAGGCUUCAUUAGAUAAGAGGACAGCAUGUACAAAGCCUGUGGGUGGCAGGGAAAGUUGAUAAGGGCAUUGCUUCUCAAGGGCAUAGCUCUGAAAUGUUCUGAGCUCAGCAUGGCACCAGCUCCUACAACAGCUAUUGUCACACAAGCCAAUCGGCUAUUGUUGAGAUCACUCCGAUUCCAUACAUGUGGAGGAAGGGGGAGGGAAGAGGAAAGUCUGGAUUCCCAGAGCUGAGCCCAUGGAGCUUGAAGUGGCAACCAGAGACGUCCUUGUGAGAGACAGCGCAAUCGUCGCCUGGAGGAUCAGAUUCACUCACUGCUCAGUACUUGAACUGUUUGACUGUACGCAAUGGACUUUCUCUGUGAUCGACAGAGUCCAAUAGGAGGUGAGAGGAGGAGCCAGCAUACUGUGGUCCACGGAACAGUCGGUCACCAUCUACUUUUGCAUGUCCUGUAACAUAAGAAUCAGUUUUAACUUUUUUUUUCUUUUUUCUUUUUUUUCUUUUUUUCCGGAGCUUGGGACCACACCCAGGGCCUUGCGCUCACUAGGCAAGUGCUCUACCACUGAGCCAAAUCCCCAACCCCAAAUGGUAACUUUUUAAUUAACUUAUUUAUUUGGGAGGAUUUUUAAAAUAAAGGUUGCAUUGAUCUCUU